This 813-nucleotide non-coding RNA is filed under the name Procapritermes sp. 1 TB-2017. The record is from RNAcentral. Lineage: Eukaryota; Metazoa; Arthropoda; Insecta; Blattodea; Termitidae.
UUCAAGUUUUAUUCUUGCUUUUUCAUUCAGUUUUUAUUUGUUCUAUAUGUAAGUUUUUGUGUGAUUUUUUAUAAUUCUAAAUGGAUUUAUUGUUUUUAAUUUUUAUUCUCAUUAGUUAUUAUUGGUUGGUCAAGUAUUCUUGUAUUCAGCAAUAUAUUUUAAUUUCGGUUAAAUUUUGUGCCAGCAGCCGCGGUUAUACCUUGGAAGUGUUUGAAUGUGUUCGGCAUUUGUAGUUUUAUAUUAUUUAGUUUAUUUGAUUUGUUUUUACUGAUUGUUAGGUGAAAUUUUUUUUGCUAGUGUUUUGUUUUUUAUCUAUUUGUAGGCUAUGAAAUUCUUUUUUUAAACUAGGAUUAGAUACCCUAUUAUUUUUGAAUGUUAAUUGGUUUAAUGUGCUUGAGUAGUAUUAGUUAUGUUCUUGAAACUUAAAGAAUUUGGCGGUAUCUCACUCCGUCCAGAGGAAUCUGUCUCGUUAUCGAUAGUCCGCGUUGGACCUUACUUAGAUUGCUUGGGUUUGUAUACCGCCGUUUAUUGAUUAUCUUUUUAGAGUUAUUAAUUUUCUAGUUUCUUUAUUUUGAUUUAUUUCAGGUCAAGGUGCAGCUUGUUUCUUAGUGGAAUGAUGGAUUACAUUGUGAUUUGUUUUGUGGAUUGUCGGUUUUAAUAUUGGCAUGAAAUUGGAUUUGGUUGUAAUUAUUUGUAGAUUGUUAUUAUGAUAACUGGUUCUGGGAUAUGUACACAUCGCCCGUCGCUCUCGUUUAUUGUUAAUGAGAUAAGUCGUAACAAAGUGGUUGUACCGGAAGGUGCGGCUGGAUUGAU